AUUGCUAAGUAAGAAGUUAAGUUGUUGCUAUCGCAACAAUCCUGGCAGACAAUUGAGUAAUAUUUUGAUGAUUUAUUUUGUUUGUAAUUAGUUAUUAUAAGAAGAUCUAGAUCCUAGAUAUUAGAAUAAAAUUUAUUUUCUACUGUAUCCAUUUCAAAUGUUAAAGUAUUGUUUAAUAUUUUUGAAAUCCCUGAAUAUCAGGCCUUGUUAUAAAUAAGCUGCGUAAUCAAUAAAUAGAACAAGGGACUUUUUGUUGAUAAUCCAAAUACUCAAAGUUUACGUAAUGAGAAUUACAGCGUGUGUGCAAACUCCUGAGGGUUGAUUAUGCUGCAGUUUUUAGCAUGUUGGAACGUCUAGAGAGAAGGUUGACUUUUUGCACUUCUGUAUAUAGUCAAAAGAGAGAAACCUGUAUAAUAGUAAGAUCUUAUUUUGAAUAAAAACGUCUAUAAUUACAAGGAGUUUUGUUAAGGCUAAUACAACGACAGACUGAGCAAAAUUGCUUGCAAAAGUGGCACAGAGUUAGCACUCCAUACCCCUUCAAACAUGUUGCUUUGCUUUUUGUGGACAGCUUGUAGUUUGCCAGGAUUUUUUCAGCUGGAAAGAUAGGCCAUCCUUCCGAGAUCUCAUGACUGACAAAAACUCCAUUGGGCCAAAUCUGCCUGAAGAUCAUUACCAAAACUAGCAGGUACUUCAACCAUUAAGGUGAAAUCAUGGAUCAAAUAUUCCUUACAUUUUUCAAAACUACUGCAUGUUUAAAACUUCAACAAAACAAAAAAGAGACAGAACUAUACUAAGGACAUAUACUAUUCAAAUCAGUUUCUGCCAAUUUCAGUGGUUUAUUGUUCACAAAAAAAAAAAAAAAAGAAAAAAAUCUUCAAAACAAGUAUUGACUUUCACAAAAUUUCAACCAUAAACAGGCAAACCAAACAGCACACAGUAGCUAUAGUUGUUACGUGAUUGUUUUUUAAUUGCUGUAGGAUCCUGUUCUUUCAGCAGGUGAAAAAGAUAAAACACAGUUCAAAUUUCAUGGUUUUAAUUUUCAACUCAGAAGCACUCAAAAACGCAAAUGUGAUAAUGGGCACGUGUUUAAUGAAUUAGUGUAUCCAGCCUUCACUCCAGCUGGUUAUGGUGUUGCACUUAUCAGCAACCCUACGCUUUCAUCUGCUGAAAGGACAGAUGUGCUUGGUUUUACUAUUAUGUAAUCACAACUUACUUUCUGCUUGUAGUUGCUUAAAAUUAUGUAUUUUGUCUUGGGCUGCAAUUUGUUUUAUGCUUAUUUUAUUAUUACUGCAGUAGUUGACUUUGCUGUAUGGAAAAAUAAAGUGAAAUUGCCCUAAUAAAACUUCUCUUUCUUAAG
RNAcentral lists this long non-coding RNA (1357 nucleotides) under Phocoena sinus (vaquita). RNAcentral describes it as "lncRNA (ENSPSNG00000017681.1)". Lineage: Eukaryota; Metazoa; Chordata; Mammalia; Artiodactyla; Phocoenidae. The record is from RNAcentral.